GUCAGCCAAAACGACGCGCGGCACCCAGCUCAGUAACACGUGGCUAAUCUGCCCUUAGGACGAGAACAACCCCGGGAAACUGGGGCUAACUCUCGAUAGGCGAAGAACACUGGAAUGUGUCUUUACUUAAAAAGCCUCACGUUAUGCUCGUGAGGUCGCCUAAGGAUGAGGCCGCGGCCGAUCAGGUUGUUGGUGAGGUAAUGGCUCACCAAGCCUUUUACCGGUGCGGGCCGUGGGAGCGGGAGCCCGGAGAUGGGUACUUAGACAAGGACCCAGGCCCUACGGGACGCAGCAGUCGCGAAACCUUUGCAAUACACGCAAGUGUGACAGGGUUAUCCCGAGUGCCAUCCGCUGAGGAAGGCUUUUACCCAGUCUAGAAAGCUGGGGGAAUAAGGAGAGGGCAAGUCUGGUGUCAGCCGCCGCGGUAAUACCAGCUCUCCGAGUGGUGUGGAUGUUUAUUGGGCCUAAAGCAUCCGUAGCUGGCUAAGUUAGUCCCUUGUUAAAUCCACCGAAUUAAUCGUUGGAUCGCGGGGGAUACUGCUUGGCUAGGGGACGAGAGAGGCAGACGGUAUUUCCGGGGUAGGGGUGAAAUCCUAUAAUCCC
RNAcentral lists this ribosomal RNA (603 nucleotides) under uncultured archaeon. RNAcentral describes it as "bacterial SSU rRNA". It matches the Rfam family "Archaeal small subunit ribosomal RNA", at positions 66 to 649 of the family's 1478-position model. The record is from RNAcentral.